GAGCAGAGGUGCCGAGCGUUAGGUGGAAUCACUGGGCGUAAAGCGUGCGUAGGUGGUUUGUUAAGUCUGUUGUGAAAGCCCCGGGCUCAACCUGGGAAUGGCAAUGGAUACUGGCAGGCUAGAGUGCGGUAGAGGGUAGUGGAAUUCCCGGUGUCAGCGGUGAAAUGCGCAGAUAUCAGGAGGAACACCAAUGGCGAAGGCAGCACUCUGGGACGUGACUGACGCUGAGACGCGAAAGCGUGGGAGCAAACAGG
This 254-nucleotide ribosomal RNA is filed under the name uncultured bacterium. RNAcentral's name for it is "partial 16S ribosomal RNA". It matches the Rfam family "Bacterial small subunit ribosomal RNA", at positions 523 to 776 of the family's 1533-position model. The record is from RNAcentral.